UACCUCAGUAACGGCGAGUGAAGCGGUAAUAGCUCAAAUUUGAAAUCUGGCUCUUUCAGGGUCCGAGUUGUAAUUUGUAGAGGAUGUUUCGGGCACGGUUACGGUUUAAAUUUCUUGGAACAGAAUGUCAUAGAGGGUGAGAGUCCCGUCUUGAACCGAUUACUUCGUCCAUGUGAAACUCCUUCGACGAGUCGAGUUGUUUGGGAAUGCAGCUCAAAAUGGGUGGUAAAUUUCAUCUAAAGCUAAAUAUUGGCCAGAGACCGAUAGCGCACAAGUAGAGUGAUCGAAAGAUGAAAAGCACUUUGAAAAGAGAGUUAAACAGUAUGUGAAAUUGUUGAAAGGGAAGCGCUUGUAAUCAGACUUGAGCUUAACAGUUCCCCCUUCGUUCUCGUUGGGUUAUUCUGUUUUGUCCAGGCCAACAUCAGUUCGAGUGGUUGGUUAAAGACUUUAGGAAUGUAUCUACCCUUCGGGGUCGACUUAUAGCCUGGAGUGUCAUGCAGCCUACUUGGACUGAGGAACGCGCUUCGGCUCGGAUGUUGGCGUAAUGGUUAUAAGCGACCCGUCUUGAAACACGGACCAAGGAGUCUAACAUCUAUGCGAGUCUUUGAGUGGAAAACUCCCAGGCGUAAUGAAAGUGAACGGAGGUAAGAAGCCUUUAGGCUGCAUUAUCGACCGAUCUUGAUGUCUUCGGAUGGAUUUGAGUAAGAGCAUAGCUGUUGGGACCCGAAAGAUGGUGAACUAUGCCUGAAUAGGGUGAAGCCAGAGGAAACUCUGGUGGAGGCUCGCAGCGGUUCUGACGUGCAAAUCGAUCGUCAAAUUUGGGUAUAGGGGCGAAAGACUAAUCG
RNAcentral lists this ribosomal RNA (845 nucleotides) under Epibryon bryophilum. RNAcentral describes it as "LSU rRNA". It matches the Rfam family "Eukaryotic large subunit ribosomal RNA", at positions 76 to 937 of the family's 3401-position model. Lineage: Eukaryota; Fungi; Ascomycota; Eurotiomycetes; Chaetothyriales; Epibryaceae. The record is from RNAcentral.